This 538-nucleotide unclassified non-coding RNA is filed under the name Hevea brasiliensis (rubber tree). Lineage: Eukaryota; Viridiplantae; Streptophyta; Magnoliopsida; Malpighiales; Euphorbiaceae. The record is from RNAcentral.
UGCAUGGAUAUUUCUGUGCACCAAUUGCUAGAUAAGGCAUUGUUUUUCAGUUUUUUUAUAAUGCUCUACCUUUAGGGUUUUUCCAGAAGUUUCUUUAACUUUCACUCAAAAAAAUUGGAGAUAAAGUAUGUUUUAACAGUGCUUUUUCAUUGAGUUGGUUUUUUAAGUAUUUAGCAGGAGUAUGUCUUAUCUUUGUUUUUGUACUUAUUUUCUCUUCAUUCUCAAUUAAGAUUCUUAUUUUUAUUUAAAAAGAAAAAGAAUUCAGGCAUCGGAUAACACAGUAGGGUAUUAACAAUAUACAAUUUUGAAAACCUACAAAUGCAUUAUAGAAACACACACAUCGUACUAAAUGAAAGCAAGUUACAUGUAUGUGAACAAAUUACCUUAUAACAAAUGUAGUGCUUGUAAAAGGCUAAUAAGUUGCUUAAUAUAAAAGAGACUUACAUCCUGAUCCAUCUGUAUGUUGGCAUCAUCAAGUGUUUUAUCCAUGUCAUGCAUCAAAGCAUGCUUUCGGUGGCCAUAGUAAUCCCAAAUGCAA